Molecule: ribosomal RNA, 426 nt
Filed under: uncultured bacterium
Lineage: Bacteria
Description: bacterial SSU rRNA
Rfam family: Bacterial small subunit ribosomal RNA
Source: RNAcentral
UGGGGAAUAUUGGGCAAUGGAGGAAACUCUUACCCAGCAAUGCCGCGUGAGUGAAGAAGGUCUUCGGAUUGUAAAGCUCUUUGAUUGGGGACGAAACAAAUGACGGUACCCAAAGAACAAGCCCCGGCUAACUACGUGCCAGCAGCCGCGGUAAUACGUAGGGGCAAGCGUUGUCCGGAAUGACUGGGCGUAAAGGGUGUGUAGGUGGUUGAAUAAGUUGGAAGUGUAAUACCCAGGGCUUAACCCGGGUGCUGCUUCCAAAAACUGUUUGACUAGAGUGCAGUAGAGGAAAGUGGAAUUCCUAGUGUAGCGGUGGAAUGCGUAGAUAUUAGGAGGAACACCAGUGGCGAAGGCGGCUUUCUGGACUGUAACUGACACUGAGGCACGAAAGCGUGGGUAGCAAACAGGAUUAGAUACCCUGGUAGU